Molecule: non-coding RNA, 456 nt
Organism: Nanorana parkeri
Lineage: Eukaryota; Metazoa; Chordata; Amphibia; Anura; Dicroglossidae
Source: the annotation of a RefSeq genome assembly
AUGCAAGUGGUCCUCCUGAGACUCAUCCUCGCCUCCUGGUGCCUGAAUUUCUGUUUGACAGCAGACAACGAUGUAGUCCAGAGCCCACCCUACAAGGUGAUCCAGACUGGUGAAAGUGUGUCAAUGGAUUGUUCUGAUGACAGAUCCAGCAACCUGGCCAAAUUCUGGUACCGCCAGAAGGACGGAGCUCUAGUCCAGAUUGCGUAUUCGUACAACGCAGGGGAAGCUGACAUGGAGAAGGAUUUUCCCAAAGAUAGAUUUCUGAUAAAAGCUGAUACAGCUAUGAGGAGCUCCCUGACCAUCAGUGAGGUGUCUGUGGAUGACAGUGCGAAUUACUUCUGUGCCAGCAGCAUCCACAGCGGCACAAGGAUAACACGAGGCCGUGCAGGAAUUCAUCAAAGACACUUUCCUGUAAUAAAGACUGUUAUACCACAACCAGCUGCCAUCUCUUCCUGA